CAAUAAAUAUUCAGUUUGGCCCGUGACUUUAUCUCAGUUUUAUAUUUUGGCCCACUGUGAAUUUGAGUUUGACGCCCCUGUUUUAAGGGGUCUCAGAUCACAUGGUUUGUUCACAUAUACAAACUGAACCGCUCCGAGAGCAUGCCUCUACUGCAGUGUUUUGAAGAAAUUAAGACCUGGGGCCUGUUGCACAAAAGUAGAAUUAAUACAUCCAGGAUAAAUGACUGAGCUGAGCUCAAUGGAUCCAAAACAAGUGCGGCCAGGCUUAAUUGGUUGCACAAAGACCAAGCCAGGAUGAGCAGACAAGGAUUCAUCAAGCCAGGUGAAACCAAUCCUGGAUAUGUGCGCGCUCACGGCUCACUCAAACAGACCUGCCACCGAUCACAGAUUCAAUGAUUCACCAUGGCAGAGCGGCGUACUUUUCACCGUCGGAGGCACAAAUCCUCAUGGAGGCAUACGAGGAUGUAAAAGACAUAAUUAAGAAGAAAGGCAACACCGCCACAGUGACAAAGCAAAGAGAAAAAGCGUGGCAAAGUAUUGCAGACCGCCUGAAUGCGUGAAUUCGCUGGUGUGUUGCUGAGAGACAGGGGGUAUGGCUGCCAGCCCUUUCUCCAGACCCCCAGGAAGCACAGCAGGCCUACAACCAUGCCAGGACCAGGGCCAGAGUUGAAAUGACCUUUGGCCUCCUGAAGGCACGCUUUCUCUGCCAUCACAAAUUAAGGGUCAGCCCUGUGAGGGCAUGUGACAUUUCUGUGGCUUGUGCUGUCCUCCACAAUGUGGCCUGCCUGAUUAAGGAGAGGGCCCCCAGAGUGCCACCAGCCAUGGACUGGGACAAUCCAGCAAUCUUCCCUGAUGACAGUGGUCGGCUGCUGAGGGACCAAUGUGUGUUGAAUUAUUUUAGUUAGUAUAUGUGCUUUCAAUUUUGGUUAAAUAUGUCCUGCGGUGGCAGAGGAAUUUGGGGGUUUUAUUGGGUUUUUUUUUUAUUGUUUUGGCCUCUUAUGAUGUUUGUGCUGUAUACUGUGUGUAAUACAAUCUUGCAGGGAGGCUACUGCAUCCAUUCAUUUGUCUGUUCAGUUGAUGUGUAUGGAUUUGUCCUGCAUUUAUUUCAGUGUGCAGACAUGUGGGGUGUGCUAUAUUCAGACCUUUUGAAUGUGUUUUUAUCCUUGUGUUGUAUAAUAUGCUUUGAUUCUGUGCUUUCCAUCUUGUAGAUUCACUGUGUUUCCAAAGGAGCUGAUGGUUUACCUGCUUUGUUUUAACCUUAUUCAAUAAAGGAACAUAAUGUUA
Long non-coding RNA from Tachysurus fulvidraco (yellow catfish), 1284 nucleotides. RefSeq lists it as uncharacterized. The record is from RefSeq and is a predicted model, not a curated record. Lineage: Eukaryota; Metazoa; Chordata; Actinopteri; Siluriformes; Bagridae. The transcript is spliced from 2 exons.